AUACGUAGGGUGCGAGCGUUAACCGGAAUUAUUGGGCGUAAAGCGUCCGUAGGCGUUCUAAAAAGUCUGAUGUAAAAUUUUGGGGCCCAACUCCAAACGUGUAUCGGAAACUUUUAGAAUAGAGAAGUUCAGAGGCAAGUGGAAUACUGUGUGUAGGGGUAAAAUCCGUAGAUACGCAGUGGAACACCAAAAGCGAAGGCAGCUUGCUGGGAACUUUCUGACGCUGAGGGACGAAAGCGUGGGUAGCGAACGGGAUUAGAAACCCCAGUAGUCC
RNAcentral lists this ribosomal RNA (274 nucleotides) under uncultured bacterium. RNAcentral describes it as "partial 16S ribosomal RNA". It matches the Rfam family "Bacterial small subunit ribosomal RNA", at positions 523 to 796 of the family's 1533-position model. The record is from RNAcentral.